Molecule: ribosomal RNA, 471 nt
Filed under: uncultured bacterium
Lineage: Bacteria
Description: bacterial SSU rRNA
Rfam family: Bacterial small subunit ribosomal RNA
Source: RNAcentral
GAGUUUGAUCAUGGCUCAGGACGAACGCUGGCGGCGCGCCUAAUACAUGCAAGUCGAACGGGUUGCCUUCGGGCAGCCAGUGGCGGACGGGUGAGUAACACGUGGGAACCUUCCCUUUGGUUCGGAAUAGCUCAGGGAAACUUGAGGUAAUACCGGAUAAGCCCUUACGGGGAAAGAUUUAUCGCCGAAGGAUGGGCCCGCGUCGGAUUAGCUAGUUGGUGGGGUAACGGCCUACCAAGGCGACGAUCCGUAGCUGGUCUGAGAGGAUGAUCAGCCACACUGGGACUGAGACACGGCCCAGACUCCUACGGGAGGCAGCAGUAGGGAAUAUUGGACAAUGGGCGCAAGCCUGAUCCAGCCAUGCCGCGUGAGUGACGAAGGCCUUCGGGUUGUAAAGCUCUUUUGGCGGGGACGAUAAUGACGGUACCCGCAGAAUAAGCUCCGGCUAACUUCGUGCCAGCAGCCGCGGUA